UACGUAGGGUGCGAGCGUUAAUCGGAAUUACUGGGCGUAAAGCGUGCGCAGGCGGUUUUGUAAGCCAGAUGUGAAAUCCCCGGGCUUAACCUGGGAAUGGCAUUUGUGACUGCAAGGCUGGAGUGCGGCAGAGGGGGAUGGAAUUCCGCGUGUAGCAGUGAAAUGCGUAGAUAUGCGGAGGAACACCGAUGGCGAAGGCAAUCCCCUGGGCCUGCACUGACGCUCAUGCACGAAAGCGUGGGGAGCAAACAGG
RNAcentral lists this ribosomal RNA (253 nucleotides) under uncultured bacterium. RNAcentral describes it as "partial 16S ribosomal RNA". It matches the Rfam family "Bacterial small subunit ribosomal RNA", at positions 524 to 776 of the family's 1533-position model. The record is from RNAcentral.